Molecule: ribosomal RNA, 420 nt
Filed under: Typhlodromus athenas
Lineage: Eukaryota; Metazoa; Arthropoda; Arachnida; Mesostigmata; Phytoseiidae
Description: partial small subunit ribosomal RNA
Source: RNAcentral
ACUAGGAUUAGAUACCCUACUAUAAAUAAAUAAUCUCUAGUAAUAACUGAUUUUCAAAAAAUUAAAAAAAAUUGACGGCUCUUUUAAACUCUUAAAGGAAUUUAUUUUAUAAAGGAUUCAACACCAAAACCUUACUUUAUUUUGUAAAUCUCAGCUUAUAUACCUCUAUCUAAAAUUUAAUAAACAAUUUUAUUUUACAAACCUAUUAAAGAAAAAAAUUAAGUCAAGGUGUAGCUAAUAAUAAAGAAAAAAAUAAAUUAUAUAAUUAAUUAAUUAUCUUUUUAAUUAAUGAAACUUAAACAAAAAGAAAAAUUUAAAAGUAAAUAUAAAUAUAUCUAAUUAUAUUGAACAUACCUUCAUAAAAAGUGUACAUAUCGCCCGUCACUCUUUUAAAUAAUAAAGAUAAGUCGUAACAUAGUA